This 289-nucleotide long non-coding RNA is filed under the name Rattus norvegicus (Norway rat). Its description in RNAcentral is "long non-coding RNA NONRATT026145". Lineage: Eukaryota; Metazoa; Chordata; Mammalia; Rodentia; Muridae. The record is from RNAcentral.
CCAGAGAAGCGCAAACUCAUCCAGCAGCAGCUUGUUCUCCUUUUACAUGCUCACAAGUGCCAGCGCCGGGAGCAAGCUAAUGGAGAAGUGAGGCAGUGCAAUCUUCCCCACUGUCGCACCAUGAAAAAUGUUCUAAACCAUAUGACACAUUGUCAGUCAGGCAAAUCCUGUCAAGUGGCACAUUGUGCGUCUUCUCGACAAAUCAUUUCACACUGGAAAAAUUGCACAAGGCAUGAUUGUCCUGUGUGUCUUCCUCUCAAAAAUGCUGGGGAUAAGCGAAAUCAACAGU